Aegilops tauschii subsp. strangulata is the source of this 294-nucleotide long non-coding RNA. RefSeq lists it as uncharacterized. The record is from RefSeq and is a predicted model, not a curated record. Lineage: Eukaryota; Viridiplantae; Streptophyta; Magnoliopsida; Poales; Poaceae.
AGCUUGUUGGAUGAGAUGAAACACAGAUCUAAGACCUACUCGCCUGCAGCUUCGCCGGAUGUAGCUUCUUUUUCUUCAAUGGGGGGCACGAAGAAGAUGCCCUUACUCAACACUGCAUACAAUGCCGGGUGACAGGAAGCCAUGUUGCCAUUUUGUUUGUUCCCAGCCCCGACUGGUCGUCCGGCGAGUCCGUCAUGUUGUCAUUUUCUUGUAUUGGCAUGGAUAGAGCUUGUUACUGUUGUUGCCAAUGUAUUAUGUGAUCUGGUUGCUCUUAUUUGAAGUAUUAUGUGUGCU